AAAUCAUGUGAUGAGGAAAAAAAACUGCAACAAUAUGAUAGUCAUACAUUGAUUACUUUCCAUGAUUCAUUGUAUUUAAGUCUCUGAUGAUU
Molecule: small nucleolar RNA, 92 nt
Filed under: Ipomoea nil (Japanese morning glory)
Lineage: Eukaryota; Viridiplantae; Streptophyta; Magnoliopsida; Solanales; Convolvulaceae
Description: Small nucleolar RNA Z199
Rfam family: Small nucleolar RNA Z199
About the family: snoZ199 is a C/D box small nucleolar RNA, which acts as a methylation guide RNA for sites on 18S and 25S rRNA.
Source: Rfam by way of RNAcentral